Molecule: ribosomal RNA, 229 nt
Filed under: Mycobacterium gastri
Lineage: Bacteria; Bacillati; Actinomycetota; Actinomycetes; Mycobacteriales; Mycobacteriaceae
Description: partial 23S rRNA
Rfam family: Bacterial large subunit ribosomal RNA
Source: RNAcentral
UGUGCCUACAAUCCGUCAGAGCCCCUUUGUGGGGUGAUGGCGUGCCUUUUGAAGAAUGAGCCUGCGAGUCAGGGACAUGUCGCGAGGUUAACCCGAGCGGGGUAGCCGCAGCGAAAGCGAGUCUGAAUAGGGCGUAUCACGCGUAAGCGUGUGUAGUGGCGUGUUCUGGACCCGAAGCGGAGUGAUCUACCCAUGGCCAGGGUGAAGCGCGGGUAAGACCGCGUGGAGG